Molecule: ribosomal RNA, 787 nt
Filed under: uncultured Campylobacterota bacterium
Lineage: Bacteria; Pseudomonadati; Campylobacterota
Description: bacterial SSU rRNA
Rfam family: Bacterial small subunit ribosomal RNA
Source: RNAcentral
AGAGUUUGAUCAUGGCUCAGGGUGAACGCUAGCGGUGCGCCUAACACAUGCAAGUCGAGCGAGAGUAUGAUGCUUGCAUUAUACAAAAGCGGCGAACGGGUGAGUAACACGUUGGUAUCUGCCCCCAAGUCAGGGAUAGCCAUUGGAAACGAUGAUUAAUACCGGAUAGUCUCUUCGGAGUAAAAAUUUAUUGCUUGGGGAGGAGCCUGCGGUCUAUCAGCUUGUUGGUGAGGUAAUAGCUCACCAAGGCUAUGACGGAUAACUGGUCUGAGAGGAUGAUCAGUCACAAUGGAACUGAGACACGGUCCAUACUCCUACGGGAGGCAGCAGUGAGGAAUCUUCCACAAUGGACGAAAGUCUGAUGGAGCGACACCGCGUGAAGGAUGAAGGCCUAACGGUUGUAAACUUCUUUUCUGAAGGAGCAUAAUGAGAGUACUUCAGGAAUAAGGGACGGCUAAAUACGUGCCAGCAGCCGCGGUAAUACGUAUGUCUCGAGCGUUACCCGGAAUCACUGGGUGUAAAGGGUUCGUAGGCUGUUUGAUAAGUUGAAUAUGAAAGACCGGGGCUCACCUCGUGUUCGUGUUCAAACUGUCAACUAGAAUCAGGGAGAGGUAAGCGGAAUCUGUGUGUAGGGGUGCAAUCGUAAUCNNGAGGACCCCAAAGCGAAGCACUUCUGGACUGAUUGCCCUAUGAACNAAGCUGGGUACGAAAGGUUAAUCCCUUGANCCCCUACAUAUCUAUGUGGCUNUCANGUACUACCGUAGUUCCCUAGAGCGCNAAUACUAGA